CCCUGGUGGCGAGUGGCGAACGGGUGAGUAAUGCAUCGGAACGUGUCUUUAAGUGGGGGAUAACGCAGCGAAAGCUGUGCUAAUACCGCAUACGAUCUCUGGAUGAAAGCGGGGGACCUUCGGGCCUCGCGCGAUUGGAGCGGCCGAUGUUAGAUUAGGUAGUUGGUGGGGUAAAGGCUCACCAAGCCGACGAUCUAUAGCUGGUCUGAGAGGACGAUCAGCCACACUGGGACUGAGAUACGGCCCAGACUCC
Molecule: ribosomal RNA, 253 nt
Filed under: uncultured bacterium
Lineage: Bacteria
Description: partial 16S ribosomal RNA
Rfam family: Bacterial small subunit ribosomal RNA
Source: RNAcentral